This 21-nucleotide non-coding RNA is filed under the name Caenorhabditis elegans. The record is from RNAcentral. Lineage: Eukaryota; Metazoa; Nematoda; Chromadorea; Rhabditida; Rhabditidae.
UUCAGUUGAACAUCUGGUUUU